This 1522-nucleotide long non-coding RNA is filed under the name Homo sapiens (human). Its description in RNAcentral is "HSALNT0361320". The record is from RNAcentral. Lineage: Eukaryota; Metazoa; Chordata; Mammalia; Primates; Hominidae.
CAUGAGUUCUUCUGUUUCUUCUGCGUGGGUUGACCAUGGGCAUCAGGCAUCAGAGAUACAACUCUGGAUCUUGUCCAUCCAUUGCUGGGCACUCUGUCCAUCCUGGGCGCAGAAGUUAUACACACGUUUGCUGGUCUUGAGCUACAAAACCAAAUGACAGUGAACCAGAGAUGAAGGGCAGGGCUGUUUUAUGGAUUUGGGCAUGGUAUGAGCAGGGCUAAGUGGAAAAAACUGUAUCUAUCUUUCAUGUUAAAGAAGUCCAGAAGACUGGGAAACAGAUCCAGAUGGAGGAAACAUCUGAUAAAGUUUGCCUAAGCAGCCAGCAGUCUAUCAAUCAUGACUCUUCCAACCCUCAUCCUGCAUCUAUAUCUAGAUUCAAAGAAGUCCAUGCAGGAGGCAGUCUACACUUUUCAAGAGAAAAUGGAAGGACUUCAGAGUUGAUUUGAUGAAGCUCAGUAAAAAACAUAAUUUUAUGUUUCUCUUUUAAGUUGUUGGCUGUUUGUUUAUUAUGAAGCCAUUUAAAGAGUUUUCUUGUUUAGCAGUGUAUAUAUACUGCAGAUCAUGGUUACUGAGACUCUAGAUGACAGAAGCGUGUAGUCUGUGUCCUUGGGUGACUUAAAAAUAAAAGCAGAACUUUUAUACCUUUUUCAAAUAGUCAAUCUAUUACUAACAUGAGCCCACUUUGUUUUUAAUAGGGAGGAAAAUGUGUUGGGGUGAGGCAAAAAGUAGUUCUUUAAAAGGCCAUGAAGGGUGUCUCAGCAGUGGUGUCUUGCUUGGAAUGAAGUGACAUAGUCAAAAUCAACAUGCAUUUUACCAGUUUAUCAAAAAAAAAAAAAAAAAAAGACUCAAGCCCAAGAUGGCAUGAAAUUCUAUAAUAUGUGGGGCCCCUAAGACUAAUUAACAGUUUCUUCUCUACCUUUUAACUGCAGGGUCCAGUGCAGUAGUUCUCAACCUUGGACAUGGAUUUAAAAAACCAAGGGCUUUAAAAAAAUCCCAGUGUCCAGGUCUCACCUCAGACCAAUUAAAUCAGAAUCUCUGGGGAUGGCCCGAGAUAUUAGUUAUUUUAAAAGUUCAAGUAACUCCAAUGUCCAAAGUUGCAAAUGCUCUAGGGGUUGCAGUAAGAUUUUGAAAGCCACCUUGUAUAUUGCUCCAUUUGGCGCCUUGAGGCAUGGAUUAGACUGAAAGGCUGUGUGGUAGUCAGCCCAAGUUGAAAUAGGCUCUAGGCACCUUUGUAGACAGAAAGAGAAUGAGCUGAAACCAGAAGAGGAGAUGCAAUACAUGGCCCUCUGUUCCUUAGGGCUGUUGUAACAUCUUGUAAUUGGAACCAAGUCCAAUGGACUUUUCUUACAGUAUCCAUAUGGCUGGCUUAGGGCAACAUGUACACAUAUAAGGAACAUCUUAAAAACAGUCCAAAUCAGACAGCUAGUGCCAAAUCCUAUCAAAUUAUAACCCUAUAAUCCAGUAUGUAAUAAUCAACAUAUUAAGCUUUUAGGACACAGGAGAAUUCAUUGUGUUUAAGUUU